GACGAACGCUGGCGGCGUGCUUAAUACAUGCAAGUCGAACGGAAAGGCCCUGCUCUUGUGGGGUGCUUGAGUGGCGAACGCGUGAGUAACACGUGAGUAACCCGCACCUGACUUUGGGAUAUCUUCAGGAAACUGCGGCUAUUAUCGGAUAGGAGAUUCUGAACCAUGGUGGGGGUUGGAAAGAUACGGCUGUUGGGGCUGGACUCGCGGCUUAUCAGCUUGUUGGUGGGGUAGUGGAUUACGAAGGGUUUGACGGAUAGCCGGCCUGAGAGGGUGACCGGCCACAAUGGGACUGAGAUACGGCCCAGACGCCUACGGGAGGCAGCAGUGGGGAGUAUUGCGGAGUGGGCGGAAGCCUGAUGUAGCAACGCCGCGUGCGUGAUAACGGCCUUCUGGGUGUAAACCGCUUUCUCCUGUGACGAAGCGUGAGUGACGGUAAUGAGUAAAGAAGCACCGGCUAACUACGUG
RNAcentral lists this ribosomal RNA (468 nucleotides) under uncultured bacterium. RNAcentral describes it as "partial 16S ribosomal RNA". It matches the Rfam family "Bacterial small subunit ribosomal RNA", at positions 28 to 507 of the family's 1533-position model. The record is from RNAcentral.